Molecule: ribosomal RNA, 298 nt
Filed under: Caldalkalibacillus uzonensis
Lineage: Bacteria; Bacillati; Bacillota; Bacilli; Caryophanales; Bacillaceae
Description: partial 16S ribosomal RNA
Rfam family: Bacterial small subunit ribosomal RNA
Source: RNAcentral
GCGUCGGAGAGUUUGAUCCUGGCUCAGGACGAACGCUGGCGGCACGCCUAAUACAUGCAAGUCGAGCGCGUGAAGCUUUCCGAAGCCUUCGGGUGGACGAAAGUGGAUCGAGCGGCGGACGGGUGAGUAACACGUAGGCAACCUGCCUGUAAGACCGGGAUAACUCCGGGAAACCGGGGCUAAUACCGGAUGGGAUCUCUUUUCGCAUGGGAAGGGAUUGAAAGGAUGGCCGCAAGGCUAUCGCUUACAGAUGGGCCUGCGGCGCAUUAGCUGGUUGGUGAGGUAACGGCUCACCAAG